This 1057-nucleotide ribosomal RNA is filed under the name Arcopilus navicularis. RNAcentral's name for it is "partial large subunit ribosomal RNA". It matches the Rfam family "Eukaryotic large subunit ribosomal RNA", at positions 13 to 1104 of the family's 3401-position model. Lineage: Eukaryota; Fungi; Ascomycota; Sordariomycetes; Sordariales; Chaetomiaceae. The record is from RNAcentral.
AGGUAGGAAGACCCGCUGAACUUAAGCAUAUCAAUAAGCGGAGGAAAAGAAACCAACAGGGAUUGCCCUAGUAACGGCGAGUGAAGCGGCAACAGCUCAAAUUUGAAAUCUGGCCUCGGCCCGAGUUGUAAUUUGCAGAGGAAGCUUUAGGCGCGGCACCUUCUGAGUCCCCUGGAACGGGGCGCCAUAGAGGGUGAGAGCCCCGUAUAGUUGGAUGCCUAGCCUGUGUAAAGCUCCUUCGACGAGUCGAGUAGUUUGGGAAUGCUGCUCAAAAUGGGAGGUAAAUUUCUUCUAAAGCUAAAUACCGGCCAGAGACCGAUAGCGCACAAGUAGAGUGAUCGAAAGAUGAAAAGCACUUUGAAAAGAGGGUUAAAUAGCACGUGAAAUUGUUGAAAGGGAAGCGCUUGUGACCAGACUUGCGCCGGGCUGAUCAUCCGGUGUUCUCACCGGUGCACUCUGCCCGGCUCAGGCCAGCAUCGGUUCUCGCGGGGGGAUAAAGGCCCAGGGAACGUAGCUCCUCCGGGAGUGUUAUAGCCCUGGGUGUAAUGCCCUCGCGGGGACCGAGGUUCGCGCAUCUGCAAGGAUGCUGGCGUAAUGGUCACCAGCGACCCGUCUUGAAACACGGACCAAGGAGUCAAGGUUUUGCGCGAGUGUUUGGGUGUAAAACCCGCACGCGUAAUGAAAGUGAACGUAGGUGAGAGCUUCGGCGCAUCAUCGACCGAUCCUGAUGUUUUCGGAUGGAUUUGAGUAGGAGCGUUAAGCCUUGGACCCGAAAGAUGGUGAACUAUGCUUGGAUAGGGUGAAGCCAGAGGAAACUCUGGUGGAGGCUCGCAGCGGUUCUGACGUGCAAAUCGAUCGUCAAAUCUGAGCAUGGGGGCGAAAGACUAAUCGAACCAUCUAGUAGCUGGUUACCGCCGAAGUUUCCCUCAGGAUAGCAGUGUUGUCUUCAGUUUUAUGAGGUAAAGCGAAUGAUUAGGGACUCGGGGGCGCUUUUUAGCCUUCAUCCAUUCUCAAACUUUAAAUAUGUAAGAAGCCCUUGUUACUUAAUUGAACGUGG